Molecule: ribosomal RNA, 465 nt
Filed under: Vreelandella stevensii
Lineage: Bacteria; Pseudomonadati; Pseudomonadota; Gammaproteobacteria; Oceanospirillales; Halomonadaceae
Description: partial 16S ribosomal RNA
Rfam family: Bacterial small subunit ribosomal RNA
Source: RNAcentral
CCUACGGGGGGCUGCAGUGGGGAAUAUUGGACAAUGGGGGCAACCCUGAUCCAGCCAUGCCGCGUGUGUGAAGAAGGCCCUCGGGUUGUAAAGCACUUUCAGUGAGGAAGAACGCCUGGUGGUUAAUACCCAUCAGGAAAGACAUCACUCACAGAAGAAGCACCGGCUAACUCCGUGCCAGCAGCCGCGGUAAUACGGAGGGUGCGAGCGUUAAUCGGAAUUACUGGGCGUAAAGCGCGCGUAGGUGGCUUGAUAAGCCGGUUGUGAAAGCCCCGGGCUCAACCUGGGAACGGCAUCCGGAACUGUCAAGCUAGAGUGCAGGAGAGGAAGGUAGAAUUACCGGUGUAGCGGUGAAAUGCGUAGAGAUCGGGAGGAAUACCAGUGGCGAAGGCGGCCUUCUGGACUGACACUGACACUGAGGUGCGAAAGCGUGGGUAGCAAACAGGAUUAGAUACCCUAGUAGUC